This 215-nucleotide long non-coding RNA is filed under the name Homo sapiens (human). RNAcentral's name for it is "non-protein coding lnc-TCHHL1-1:1". The record is from RNAcentral. Lineage: Eukaryota; Metazoa; Chordata; Mammalia; Primates; Hominidae.
ACACUUGCCUGUGGUGUCAGCAAGCACUGUCGACUUCUUCCUCUGGUGAAGUGGUUUACUUGAACUUGAAGGAAAGAAAAAAAAAUGUCUCCACUUCUGAGAAGCAUCUGUGACAUCACUGAAAUUUUCAAUCAGUAUGUCUCUCAUGAUUGUGAUGGAGCAGCAUUAACUAAGAAAGACCUGAAGAACCUCCUUGAAAGGGAAUUUGGAGCUGU